GAUGAAGUCUCUUCAUAACCUUUGAUUACUUAGCACACUCCCGUGGGCUCCCCCUCCUUUGGGCAUAAAACAUUUUUCUAGCUAUACCCCCAAUUUUCAGUCUCCCUUUGUCUUUUGUAUAUUUUUUAUUUUUAUUUUCUUAUUAUUGCUUUAUUUAUUAUUUUUGUUCUUUUUGUUUGUUUGAGAUUGAACAUUUGCUUGGUUG
Molecule: long non-coding RNA, 205 nt
Filed under: Lathyrus oleraceus (garden pea)
Lineage: Eukaryota; Viridiplantae; Streptophyta; Magnoliopsida; Fabales; Fabaceae
Description: Pisum sativum (pea) long non-coding RNA (PSAT_LNC036743)
Source: RNAcentral